Molecule: ribosomal RNA, 300 nt
Filed under: uncultured Kitasatospora sp.
Lineage: Bacteria; Bacillati; Actinomycetota; Actinomycetes; Kitasatosporales; Streptomycetaceae
Description: bacterial SSU rRNA
Rfam family: Bacterial small subunit ribosomal RNA (bases 52-300)
Source: RNAcentral
GCUACAGGCGGGGCGGAGGCGCGGGGAAUCGGAAGGGGGCGGGGGUUGUUCGGAUUUACGGGUCGUAAAGGGGGCGCAGGCGGGUCAGUUUGUCAGGCGUGAAAGCCCCGGGCUUAACCUGGGAACCGCGUUUGAUACGGAUGGGCUAGAGUUCGGGAGAGGAGAGUGGAAUUCCCAGUGUAGAGGUGAAAUUCGUAGAUAUUGGGAAGAACACCGGUGGCGAAGGCGGCUCUCUGGACCGAGACUGACGCUGAGGCGCGAAAGCGUGGGGAGCAAACAGGAUUAGAUACCCUAGUAGUC